AAGUCGUAACAAGGUUUCCGUAGGUGAACCUGCGGAAGGAUCAUUAACGUAUACAAGUCCUAUGAGGCCGUCAAACGCUAAAUAGGCAAACCCCCCUCAACCAUGUGAAAUGUCUUGUCCUUUGGACUUGGAGUCAAAUCCAAGUCCAACAACAAACUUGAACCUAUUCUUUUAUUAACCAUGAUACUUUUAAACAAGAAAAUCUAUACAACUUUUAACAAUGGAUCUCUUGGCUCCCA
Molecule: unclassified non-coding RNA, 239 nt
Filed under: fungal sp.
Lineage: Eukaryota; Fungi
Description: partial internal transcribed spacer region
Rfam family: Eukaryotic small subunit ribosomal RNA (bases 1-46)
Source: RNAcentral